Molecule: ribosomal RNA, 253 nt
Filed under: uncultured bacterium
Lineage: Bacteria
Description: partial 16S ribosomal RNA
Rfam family: Bacterial small subunit ribosomal RNA
Source: RNAcentral
GACAGAGGGGGCAAGCGUUGCUCGGAAUUACUGGGCGUAAAGCGCGUGUAGGCGGAUGAGCAAGUCUGCUGUGAAAGCUCCUGGCUUAACCGGGAGUGGUCGGUGGAAACUGCUCGUCUGGAGGACGGUAGAGGUAGGUAGAAUUCCCGGUGUAGUGGUGAAAUGCGUAGAGAUCGGGAGGAAUACCUGUGGCGAAGGCGGCCUACUGGGCCGGACCUGACGCUGAGACGCGAAGGCGUGGGGAGCGAACGGG